This is a long non-coding RNA of Larimichthys crocea (large yellow croaker), 516 nucleotides long. RefSeq lists it as uncharacterized. The record is from RefSeq and is a predicted model, not a curated record. The transcript has 2 exons. Lineage: Eukaryota; Metazoa; Chordata; Actinopteri; Sciaenidae.
CAUUCAUCACAGCCCAGUCGAGAGUGGCUCCAAAGAAGCAGCAAUCCAUCCCACGUCUAGAACUGUGCGCCGCCUUGACAGGAGCCCAGGUAGCCAAGCUGCUUAAGACUGAGCUAACUCUGCCCAUACAUCAAGUGACUUUGUGGACUGACUCUACUACUGUACUCACUUGGCUGAAAUCAGAGUCAUGCCGUUUCAAGGUGUUCGUGGGCACCAGAGUAGCAGAGAUUCAAGACCUCACUGCUGGUGACACCUGGCGUUAUGUAGAGUCUGCCUCGACCCUGCCGAUGACAUCACCAGGGGGAAGCCACUCUCUGCAUCACUUACUUGAACCACUAAUGCAUUGGACAGUUGUACGCAUUGGAUGUGCUUGUGGCAAUAAAUAAGUUGGACUUGAAGACAUCGUUUGUGUGAUUCUGGUCGAUCACCUGCAGCGAGCUGCUAUCUCAGUGUAUCCAGCAUAGUUAGAGCAGGGAAGCUUCUUCACAACCAGUGUAUGGGAUUUGGUGGCAUUUA